RNAcentral lists this ribosomal RNA (639 nucleotides) under Staphylococcus aureus. RNAcentral describes it as "partial 23S ribosomal RNA". It matches the Rfam family "Bacterial large subunit ribosomal RNA", at positions 513 to 1154 of the family's 2925-position model. Lineage: Bacteria; Bacillati; Bacillota; Bacilli; Caryophanales; Staphylococcaceae. The record is from RNAcentral.
GGUGAAAAGCACCCCGGAAGGGGAGUGAAAUAGAACCUGAAACCGUGUGCUUACAAGUAGUCAGAGCCCGUUAAUGGGUGAUGGCGUGCCUUUUGUAGAAUGAACCGGCGAGUUACGAUUUGAUGCAAGGUUAAGCAGUAAAUGUGGAGCCGUAGCGAAAGCGAGUCUGAAUAGGGCGUUUAGUAUUUGGUCGUAGACCCGAAACCAGGUGAUCUACCCUUGGUCAGGUUGAAGUUCAGGUAACACUGAAUGGAGGACCGAACCGACUUACGUUGAAAAGUGAGCGGAUGAACUGAGGGUAGCGGAGAAAUUCCAAUCGAACCUGGAGAUAGCUGGUUCUCUCCGAAAUAGCUUUAGGGCUAGCCUCAAGUGAUGAUUAUUGGAGGUAGAGCACUGUUUGGACGAGGGGCCCCUCUCGGGUUACCGAAUUCAGACAAACUCCGAAUGCCAAUUAAUUUAACUUGGGAGUCAGAACAUGGGUGAUAAGGUCCGUGUUCGAAAGGGAAACAGCCCAGACCACCAGCUAAGGUCCCAAAAUAUAUGUUAAGUGGAAAAGGAUGUGGCGUUGCCCAGACAACUAGGAUGUUGGCUUAGAAGCAGCCAUCAUUUAAAGAGUGCGUAAUAGCUCACUAGUCGAGU